AUUUUGAAAUGUACCUGAUAAAAUUGGGGAAAGGACUACAUUAGCACCAUAAAAGUGUCCCUAUUUAGACCCUAGUAACUAGAAGACGUAGAUUUCAACAGCUUCUGCAAUUUAGGGAAGUUAUAUAGUUCUCUUCAGUUCAAAACUUUCUGAUCGCUACCCUAUAGUAAUGCCAUAUGUUUGAAACAACUUGCAUGGUGGACACCAGAGGUAGUCCUCUAUGAACUUAUUUCACACCUCAAGUAGCUGACCCUAAUUUUUUUAAACCAGAGGGUAAUGUUUCUAAACUGUGGGGUUGCUAGUGUGAAAGGGAAAAAGAAAAGAGAAUAAAAGAAAAUUGGGAAGGUCGUUUAGAGCCGUGCAUUGUACCUUUUCUGAUUUACCCAUUUAACUACAUGAGUAUGUGUCAAAUUUCUUUUAUCAUUGUGAAAUUCCAAUUAAUCAUUAGUUGAUGUUAAUUUUCUUCUAUGACCAUUUAGUUGAACGUUUAAUUUGAUUUUCGUCUAUUACCAUUCAAUGUAUCUAGGAUGUAUAUUUACUUAUUUAAUCUACUUUGAGUUUAUCAAUAGUUUGGUCAACUCCUUUUCUACUGCAGAAAUUUGGCACAGCAAAAGAGGA
RNAcentral lists this unclassified non-coding RNA (618 nucleotides) under Hevea brasiliensis (rubber tree). The record is from RNAcentral. Lineage: Eukaryota; Viridiplantae; Streptophyta; Magnoliopsida; Malpighiales; Euphorbiaceae.